Molecule: transfer RNA, 107 nt
Filed under: Colletotrichum orchidophilum
Lineage: Eukaryota; Fungi; Ascomycota; Sordariomycetes; Glomerellales; Glomerellaceae
Rfam family: tRNA
About the family: Transfer RNA (tRNA) molecules are approximately 80 nucleotides in length. Their secondary structure includes four short double-helical elements and three loops (D, anti-codon, and T loops). Further hydrogen bonds mediate the characteristic L-shaped molecular structure. tRNAs have two regions of fundamental functional importance: the anti-codon, which is responsible for specific mRNA codon recognition, and the 3' end, to which the tRNAs corresponding amino acid is attached (by aminoacyl-tRNA synthetases). tRNAs cope with the degeneracy of the genetic code in two manners: having more than one tRNA (with a specific anti-codon) for a particular amino acid; and 'wobble' base-pairing, i.e. permitting non-standard base-pairing at the 3rd anti-codon position.
Source: Rfam by way of RNAcentral
GGUCUGGUGGUGUAGUUGGUUAUCACGUCAGUCUAACAGUCCAAGAGUUCCUCACAGACUCUUCCCUGUUCCACUGAAGGUCUCCGGUUCAAGUCCGGGCUAGAUCA